RNAcentral lists this ribosomal RNA (936 nucleotides) under Klebsiella pneumoniae CHS 29. Its description in RNAcentral is "bacterial SSU rRNA". It matches the Rfam family "Bacterial small subunit ribosomal RNA", at positions 592 to 1528 of the family's 1533-position model. The record is from RNAcentral. Lineage: Bacteria; Pseudomonadati; Pseudomonadota; Gammaproteobacteria; Enterobacterales; Enterobacteriaceae.
AUGUGAAAUCCCCGGGCUCAACCUGGGAACUGCAUUCGAAACUGGCAGGCUAGAGUCUUGUAGAGGGGGGUAGAAUUCCAGGUGUAGCGGUGAAAUGCGUAGAGAUCUGGAGGAAUACCGGUGGCGAAGGCGGCCCCCUGGACAAAGACUGACGCUCAGGUGCGAAAGCGUGGGGAGCAAACAGGAUUAGAUACCCUGGUAGUCCACGCCGUAAACGAUGUCGAUUUGGAGGUUGUGCCCUUGAGGCGUGGCUUCCGGAGCUAACGCGUUAAAUCGACCGCCUGGGGAGUACGGCCGCAAGGUUAAAACUCAAAUGAAUUGACGGGGGCCCGCACAAGCGGUGGAGCAUGUGGUUUAAUUCGAUGCAACGCGAAGAACCUUACCUGGUCUUGACAUCCACAGAACUUAGCAGAGAUGCUUUGGUGCCUUCGGGAACUGUGAGACAGGUGCUGCAUGGCUGUCGUCAGCUCGUGUUGUGAAAUGUUGGGUUAAGUCCCGCAACGAGCGCAACCCUUAUCCUUUGUUGCCAGCGGUCCGGCCGGGAACUCAAAGGAGACUGCCAGUGAUAAACUGGAGGAAGGUGGGGAUGACGUCAAGUCAUCAUGGCCCUUACGACCAGGGCUACACACGUGCUACAAUGGCAUAUACAAAGAGAAGCGACCUCGCGAGAGCAAGCGGACCUCAUAAAGUAUGUCGUAGUCCGGAUUGGAGUCUGCAACUCGACUCCAUGAAGUCGGAAUCGCUAGUAAUCGUAGAUCAGAAUGCUACGGUGAAUACGUUCCCGGGCCUUGUACACACCGCCCGUCACACCAUGGGAGUGGGUUGCAAAAGAAGUAGGUAGCUUAACCUUCGGGAGGGCGCUUACCACUUUGUGAUUCAUGACUGGGGUGAAGUCGUAACAAGGUAACCGUAGGGGAACCUGCGGUUGGAUCACCU